UGAGUAACCUGCCCUUAACUCUGGGAUAAGCCUGGGAAACUGGGUCUAAUACCGGAUAUGACUCCUCAUCGCAUGGUGGGGGGUGGAAAGCUUUAUUGCGGUUUUGGAUGGACUCGCGGCCUAUCAGCUUGUUGGCGGGGUAAUGGCCCACCAAGGCGACGACGGGUAGCCGGCCUGAGAGGGUGAUCGGCCACACUGGGACUGAGACACGGCCCAGACUCCUACGGGAGGCAG
This 234-nucleotide ribosomal RNA is filed under the name uncultured bacterium. Its description in RNAcentral is "partial 16S ribosomal RNA". It matches the Rfam family "Bacterial small subunit ribosomal RNA", at positions 118 to 351 of the family's 1533-position model. The record is from RNAcentral.